Molecule: ribosomal RNA, 429 nt
Filed under: Verrucomicrobiota bacterium
Lineage: Bacteria; Pseudomonadati; Verrucomicrobiota
Description: Verrucomicrobia bacterium partial 16S ribosomal RNA
Rfam family: Bacterial small subunit ribosomal RNA
Source: RNAcentral
UAGGGAAUCUUCGGCAAUGGGGGGAACCCUGACCGAGCAACGCCGCGUGAGAGAAGAAGGUUUUCGGAUCGUAAAGCUCUGUUGUUAAGGAAGAACGAGUGUGAGAAUGGAAAGUUCAUGCUGUGACGGUACUUAACCAGAAAGGGACGGCUAACUACGUGCCAGCAGCCGCGGUAAUACGUAGGUCCCGAGCGUUGUCCGGAUUUAUUGGGCGUAAAGCGAGCGCAGGCGGUUAGAAAAGUCUGAAGUGAAAGGCAGUGGCUCAACCAUUGUAGGCUUUGGAAACUGUUUAGCUUGAGUGCAGAAGGGGAGAGUGGAAUUCCAUGUGUAGCGGUGAAAUGCGUAGAUAUAUGGAGGAACACCGGUGGCGAAAGCGGCUCUCUGGACUGUAACUGACGCUGAGGCUCGAAAGCGUGGGGAGCGAACAGG